Oryctolagus cuniculus (rabbit) is the source of this 104-nucleotide small nuclear RNA. The record is from Ensembl. NCBI's taxonomy places the organism in Eukaryota, Metazoa, Chordata, Mammalia, Lagomorpha, Leporidae.
GUGCUCACACUGGCAGCACAGAUGACAUUGAAACAAAACAGAGAAGAUAAGUAUGGCCCUUGAGCAAAGGUAACCUACAAGUUCGUGAAGAGUUCAUUUCUUUU